AUGAGCCGUUCCUUGGUGCUUGGUGCUCGCCCACUUGGAAGUGGUGGCUGUCGCUCUACUUCGACACCUAUUGCGACAUCCAUCGGUUCUGCUAGUCGCUCUACAUCGACUCCUAUUGCGGCUUGUGCGCAUGGCGGUGACCGCUCUAUGUCGACUCCCCAUGUGGCUUCCACAUGUGGCUCUAUGUCAACCCGCUACUCUUGGUCGACUCUACAUUUGGUUUCCACGGGUGGUGGCGACUGUUCAUCGUCGGCAGAUGGUUCUACCUCGACCUCUUUUGUCAUGUCCCUGUCUGCAUGUGAGAUUGCACAGGUGCGAUGCCUGCUUGAUGCUUGGGAUUCUUCACUGACAGUUUCUGCAGGUUCCGUGACUGACUCUUCUGGCAUUGAGAAACCACUUCCUACUCAUUCAGUCUCCUGUUCGUGUUCUUACGGUUGA
This 438-nucleotide ribosomal RNA is filed under the name Triticum aestivum (bread wheat). RNAcentral describes it as "partial small subunit ribosomal RNA". Lineage: Eukaryota; Viridiplantae; Streptophyta; Magnoliopsida; Poales; Poaceae. The record is from RNAcentral.